RNAcentral lists this long non-coding RNA (1736 nucleotides) under Homo sapiens (human). RNAcentral's name for it is "HSALNT0168137". Lineage: Eukaryota; Metazoa; Chordata; Mammalia; Primates; Hominidae. The record is from RNAcentral.
UUCUGCUUUUUAAGUACCUAUAUCAUAACCUCGAUUUUGCCACUUGCCUGGGAAUCCCAGAUUUGUUUUGAGACAGAGUCUCACUCUGUUGCCAAGGUUGGAGUGCUGUGGUGCCAUCAGGCUUAUUACCCUGCCAGGCUCAAGCAAUCCUCCCACCUCAGCCUCCCAAAUAGCUGGACUAUAGGUACUUGCCACCAUGCCCAGCUGAUUUUUAAUUUAUUUUGUAGGGGCGAGGUCUUACUAUGUUGCCCAGAUGUACUAGCUGAUUGCUUACAGAAAAUGUCUGCCAAUCCCCGCUCAAGUGGAUUAUCUUCAAUGACUUAAGCUGUUUUAUAUGGCAGGGGAAAAGGGAGCCUAAGUAGAUUCUUCCUAUAUUCAUUUAGUCACCAGGUUCUUCUAGGAGUCUUCUAUGGUCCUGAGUGUGCAAUUGGUGAACAAAGCGGACACAUGGACAUGGUCACUGUCCUCAGGGACUUUACUAUCCAGAGGCAGGUCACUGGAAAUUGAUCAGCCUGCAUGUACAUGUCGAUAGGAUGAUGAGUCAAAGUGAACCCUGACAGCUUUGGAAUUUGAAGUGUGUCAGCUGGUCAGUGAGUCACAUUGCCCAGGGCACGGCUACCUAGAAGUGCUCUGUGUGAAACCUACCGGGAGGAAGGAUCAGGUGAGUGCCAUGAGACCAGCAGGGGAAAAGCCAAGUCCAGGAAUGUCAACCAGGAUAGGGCUGCUCUGUCAUAUUGAUUCAGGCAGUUGGUCAGAGAGUUAGGCAAAAGCAGCACCAGCACAUGAAAAACAAGGUGGAGAGCGGCAUCCCAGGGCAAAGCUGCCUGCUAAGGCCUUCUUCACAUUUUCUGCCUAGGGUAGCUAAUGAGACGCCUUAGCCUCUAAGAGCUCAAGACUCCUGAGCACAGCAAGGGUGCAGGGAUGGUCCUCUCAGGAGGCUAAGUACUUCUUUGUAACUUUGUUUCAUUUAUAACUUUGUUUCAUUUCUUUGUUUCAUUUGUAGCUUCGUUUCAUUUCUUCAGAUUAGAAAUUUUUUUUUCCUUAUGGCUGCAGCCUUUAGAGGAGUCCACAGUAAUCGCCUUUUGUCCUCUCAGAAAAUCUGUGGAUAAGACAACAGGCACAUCAUCUUUCUCACAACUUACCACUGAGGAAACGGUACAGAGAGGAAGAAAAAAAGCAUCCCAGAAAGGCAAUCUAGAUCACUCAGUGACUACCGCCUAGCACCUCCAGGAACAGAGGCAAAAGUUGAAAGCAGGGUGUGUCCCCAGGACAUCCCUGCAACUCACCCUUUCUCCUCUGCUUCCAGAAACAUCCAAGCAAUGCCUCUAGGGCUAGUCAUAGACUUAAUCUUGUCUGCCUGGGUCCUUAAGAUCUCAGAUAGAAUCCUGUAAGCUAUUCUUGCUAACCCUAUACCUCGGGAGCAGCCUAGCAAUGUGAAAUGAACAUGGGCUUUGGGGCCGAAUGAACCUCACCCAGAGCCUGGUUCUGCUACUCAGUAGCUCCAUUAUUUGACCUUGGCAAUGACAACUUCUAUAAGCCUCAGUAAAUUUACAUACAAAGCAGAGAGAAUACUUUCAACUAUAAAAAAUGCGUGUAAAGAGAAGAGUCUUCUUCCUCACCAAUCCAAUACCCUUCCCAGACUUGUAUUAAUAAUGCUUUGGUUCAAAUACCUCCAGAUUUUCCCUAGGCUUAUACUGACACAAAUAUGUAUAGAUAUAGAUACACAUGCAUAUUUU